Molecule: long non-coding RNA, 767 nt
Organism: Eucalyptus grandis
Lineage: Eukaryota; Viridiplantae; Streptophyta; Magnoliopsida; Myrtales; Myrtaceae
Exons: 2
Source: RefSeq, a predicted model, not a curated record
CCUUGUUCUCUUCCUUGCGACGACUACGCUUCGCUUCUCCCGUUCUCUCUCCUUCACUCGCUCGACUCUCUCUCUCUCUCUCUCCUUCGCUAGCUCGACUCGCUCUCUCCCUCCUUCCCACAGCUCGCAUCUGCGCUACUUGCGCUGAAUUGCUAUUGCUCGUUUGCCCGCUUGGCUGCCAAAGCUCGCGAAUGGUCAGCUCAAAUGCUCCUUGCUCGAUUGCCCUCCUCGCUUGCUCUCUCCCUUGCAAAUUGCUCUUUCCCUCGCAAUUGCUCCUUUGCAGGGUAUACCAGGGCUUCAAACAUCCAUGUUGACUGUCGUGAAGAUGCUAAUGGGCUUAGCUGAGGUUAAUGAAGGUGAAAUAUCGACACCUUGUCACUUUCAAAAUUCAUGGAUCUAAUUGCUGAUGAAGGUCUGAAAGGUCACUCAAAGGAUUCAUCCUCCACUUCAUCUGGGGAGUCAAGCAGGCCAGACGAAUCAUCUUUGUGGUCAAAAGACAUGUCAGCUCAUGUGCUACAAUGACCUUCAAUUCUAUCUAUGACAGGAGCAUUUGAACUUUUAUGUACGUUUUGCAUGUAAACAGAGAAUAGAUGUUUGAGAAACUGUGUUGUAUCAAGGUUUGUCGUAUAUAGUAUUCUGGCUUGAUCAAAUGGCUCUAAGUUUAGGAAAUAUUUAAGAAUGUUUGUAAUUUUAAAGGAUAAUAAAUUUCUUUCCUUGGGGCAGAUGUUAUCCUGUUUAUUGUAAUAAAGGUAUUCUUUUUCUUUUUC